UACGUAGGGCGCAAGCGUUAUCCGGAAUUAUUGGGCGUAAAGAGCUCGUAGGCGGUUUGUCACGUCGUCUGUGAAAUCCUCCAGCUUAACUGGGGGCGUGCAGGCGAUACGGGCAGACUUGAGUACUACAGGGGAGACUGGAAUUCCUGGUGUAGCGGUGAAAUGCGCAGAUAUCAGGAGGAACACCGGUGGCGAAGGCGGGUCUCUGGGUAGUAACUGACGCUGAGGAGCGAAAGCAUGGGUAGCGAACAGG
Molecule: ribosomal RNA, 253 nt
Filed under: uncultured bacterium
Lineage: Bacteria
Description: partial 16S ribosomal RNA
Rfam family: Bacterial small subunit ribosomal RNA
Source: RNAcentral